Octopus sinensis (East Asian common octopus) is the source of this 202-nucleotide long non-coding RNA. RefSeq lists it as uncharacterized. Lineage: Eukaryota; Metazoa; Mollusca; Cephalopoda; Octopoda; Octopodidae. The transcript is spliced from 3 exons. The record is from RefSeq and is a predicted model, not a curated record.
UCUAUACCAUAAUUUUGUGGGAUAUUGGUGUACAAAUUUACCACAUCGAAUGAUACUGACAGGGUUCCUUCAUUUAUUGUCUUCGGGAGGUGGUUUAGCAUGUCUAAGUCAUCCCUGAUGAAGCUUUUCACAUAUUUUAGAAACGGUUUGAGUAAGAUGUCGAGGAAGUUGCUCAAACGGUGGGUCAGCAGUGAUGGGAGAU